ACCGCUUGAUGGUAAACAGAACAAGUAUUGCAGCUUGGUCCAACAUUUAUCAAGCUUGGACAGUUAUCCUCAACAAGAUCUGAUUUGUUUCCAAGGGAAUUCGUUGAUGAGCUUGCAAAAUUGCAGGAUAGAGUACCUGCAUUUUCUCCUGAGAAGGAAAUGGGUUGUCCAAUUGAAGUUGUGUUCAAAGAAUUUGAAGAUUGUCCGAUAGCUGCUGCCAGUUUUGGUCAGAUGUCGUCUUCGAAGCAAAUUGAUUGUACCACGACGUUUAAUGACAUGACUAUCAUUG
Molecule: long non-coding RNA, 289 nt
Organism: Phragmites australis (common reed)
Lineage: Eukaryota; Viridiplantae; Streptophyta; Magnoliopsida; Poales; Poaceae
Exons: 3
Source: RefSeq, a predicted model, not a curated record